This 238-nucleotide long non-coding RNA is filed under the name Lathyrus oleraceus (garden pea). Its description in RNAcentral is "Pisum sativum (pea) long non-coding RNA (PSAT_LNC040868)". The record is from RNAcentral. Lineage: Eukaryota; Viridiplantae; Streptophyta; Magnoliopsida; Fabales; Fabaceae.
UUAUCCAAUAAGAAGGGGAAUACAAAUAUCAAGCUCUAAUCAGGCAACUCCGCUAGGGAUAGACUGAAGGCGAUCAUACUGGGGAUAACCUGCUGAGGGCGACCCUACCAGGGAUGAGUUGCAAGUCGACCUGCUGAGGAGAGGCUACAAGACAAACUGCUGAGGGUUUCCACUGAUGCUGGGAAUUCCUGUUCACUCUGCGGGAGAUUUCCACUUACUGAGGGAAAGACCAAUUUCA